UGGGGAAUUUUGCGCAAUGGGCGAAAGCCUGACGCAGCAACGCCGCGUGGAGGAUGAAGGUCUUCGGAUCGUAAACUCCUGUCAGUGGGGACGAAUGCUUCGCAAGAAGUUUGACUGUACCCGCUGAGGAAGCCACGGCUAACUCCGUGCCAGCAGCCGCGGUAAUACGGAGGUGGCAAGCGUUGUUCGGAAUUACUGGGCGUAAAGGGCGCGUAGGCGGUUUUGCAAGUCAGAUGUGAAAGCCCCGGGCUUAACUCGGGAAUUGCAUCUGAAACUGCUUAACUUGAGUCCUGGAUGGGGUAGUGGAAUUCCCAGUGUAGCGGUGAAGUGCGUAGAUAUUGGGAGGAACACCUGCGGCGAAGUCGGCUACCUGGACAGUGACUGAUGCUGAGGCGCGAAAGCUAGGGGAGCGAACGG
This 417-nucleotide ribosomal RNA is filed under the name uncultured bacterium. RNAcentral describes it as "bacterial SSU rRNA". It matches the Rfam family "Bacterial small subunit ribosomal RNA", at positions 355 to 775 of the family's 1533-position model. The record is from RNAcentral.